RNAcentral lists this ribosomal RNA (548 nucleotides) under Rhizobium leguminosarum. RNAcentral describes it as "partial 23S ribosomal RNA". It matches the Rfam family "Bacterial large subunit ribosomal RNA", at positions 395 to 943 of the family's 2925-position model. The record is from RNAcentral. Lineage: Bacteria; Pseudomonadati; Pseudomonadota; Alphaproteobacteria; Hyphomicrobiales; Rhizobiaceae.
GUUGGAGGGUUGCCCGAGUAGCACGGGGCCCGAGGAAUCCCGUGUGAAUCUGCCAGGACCACCUGGUAAGCCUGAAUACUACCUGUUGACCGAUAGCGGAUCAGUACCGUGAGGGAAUGGUGAAAAGUACCCCGGGAGGGGAGUGAAAUAGUACCUGAAACCAUGUGCCUACAAACCGUUGGAGCCUCCUUGUGGGGUGACAGCGUGCCUUUUGAAGAAUGAGCCUGCGAGUUAGUGAUACGUGGCGAGGUUAACCCGUGUGGGGAAGCCGUAGCGAAAGCGAGUCUGAAUAGGGCGAUUGAGUCGCGUGUCCUAGACCCGAAGCGGAGUGAUCUACCCAUGGCCAGGUUGAAGCGCGUGUAAGAGCGCGUGGAGGACCGAACCCACUUCAGUUGAAAAUGGAGGGGAUGAGCUGUGGGUAGGGGUGAAAGGCCAAUCAAACUCCGUGAUAGCUGGUUCUCCCCGAAAUGCAUUUAGGUGCAGCGUCACGUGUUUCUUCCCGGAGGUAGAGCUACUGGAUGGACGAUGGGCCCUACAAGGUUACUGAC